AUUGAACGCUGGCGGCAGGCCUAACACAUGCAAGUCGAGCGGAUGAAGGGAGCUUGCUCCUGGAUUCAGCGGCGGACGGGUGAGUAAUGCCUAGGAAUCUGCCUGGUAGUGGGGGAUAACGUCCGGAAACGGGCGCUAAUACCGCAUACGUCCUGAGGGAGAAAGUGGGGGAUCUUCGGACCUCACGCUAUCAGAUGAGCCUAGGUCGGAUUAGCUAGUUGGUGGGGUAAAGGCCUACCAAGGCGACGAUCCGUAACUGGUCUGAGAGGAUGAUCAGUCACAAUGGAACUGAGACACGGUCCAGAAGCAUAAGGGAGGCAGCAGUGGGGAAUAUUGGACAAUGGGCGGAAGCCUGAUCCAGCCAUGCCGCGUGUGUGUAGAAGGUCUUCGGAUUGUAAAGCACUUUAAGUUGGGAGGAAGGGCAGUAAGUUAAUACCUUGCUGUUUUGACGUUACCAACAGAAUAAGCACCGGAUAACUUCGUG
This 484-nucleotide ribosomal RNA is filed under the name uncultured bacterium. Its description in RNAcentral is "partial 16S ribosomal RNA". It matches the Rfam family "Bacterial small subunit ribosomal RNA", at positions 30 to 507 of the family's 1533-position model. The record is from RNAcentral.